UUGACCUCAAAUCAGGUAGGACUACCCGCUGAACUUAAGCAUAUCAAUAAGCGGAGGAAAAGAAACUAACAAGGAUUCCCCUAGUAACUGCGAGUGAACCSGGAAAAGCUCAAAUUUGUAAUCUGGCAGCUCUCAGAUCUGUCCGAGUUGUAAUCUAGAGAAGUGUUACCUGUGCUCGACCGUGUACAAGUCUUCUGGAAUGGAGCAUCACAGAGGGUGAGAAUCCCGUCUUCAACACGGACUGCCUGCACAUUAUGGUGCGCUCUCAAAGAGUCGAGUUGUUUGGGAAUGCAGCUCAAAAUGGGUGGUAAAUGCCAUCUAAAGCUAAAUAUUGGCGAGAGACCGAUAGCGAACAAGUACCGUGAGGGAAAGAUGAAAAGAACUUUGGAAAGAGAGUUAAACAGUACGUGAAAUUGCUGAAAGGGAAACGCUUGAAGUCAGUCGCGUCGGCUAGAAAUCAGCCUUGCUUUUGCUUGGUGUACUUUCUUGUCAACGGGUCAGCAUCAAUUUUGACCGCCGGAUAAAGUCGAUGGGAAUGUGGCAUCUUAGGAUGUGUUAUAGCCUGUCGUCGCAUACGGCGAUUGGGAUUGAGGAACUCAGCACGCCCGCAAGGGACGGGUUUUUGGACCACGUUCGUGCUUAGGAUGCUGGCAUAAUGGCUUUAAUCGACCCGUC
This 675-nucleotide ribosomal RNA is filed under the name Inocybe posterula. RNAcentral describes it as "eukaryotic LSU rRNA". It matches the Rfam family "Eukaryotic large subunit ribosomal RNA", at positions 1 to 653 of the family's 3401-position model. Lineage: Eukaryota; Fungi; Basidiomycota; Agaricomycetes; Agaricales; Inocybaceae. The record is from RNAcentral.